This 142-nucleotide unclassified non-coding RNA is filed under the name uncultured Ascomycota. RNAcentral describes it as "sequence contains ITS1". The record is from RNAcentral. Lineage: Eukaryota; Fungi; Ascomycota.
CCGAGUGAGGGCGCCCGCGCCCGACCUCCAACCCUUUGUCGUACGACCGAGUUGCCUCGGGGGUGACCCGGCUCGGGGCCCCCGGUGGACCGUCUCAAAACUCUCGCGUCUUUGCGUCUGAGUCGAAGAGUAAAUUGAAUUA